Molecule: non-coding RNA, 73 nt
Organism: Papaver somniferum (opium poppy)
Lineage: Eukaryota; Viridiplantae; Streptophyta; Magnoliopsida; Ranunculales; Papaveraceae
Source: the annotation of a RefSeq genome assembly
GUCUGCGUGGUGUAGUGGUCACCACGUUUGCUUUACACGCAAAAGGUCUCCGAUUCGAACCCAGGCUUGGACA